RNAcentral lists this ribosomal RNA (145 nucleotides) under Brassica napus (rape). RNAcentral's name for it is "rRNA 5_8S_rRNA". The stretch from base 28 to 145 matches the Rfam family "5.8S ribosomal RNA", at positions 36 to 154 of the family's 154-position model. From Rfam's summary of the family: 5.8S ribosomal RNA (5.8S rRNA) is a component of the large subunit of the eukaryotic ribosome. Lineage: Eukaryota; Viridiplantae; Streptophyta; Magnoliopsida; Brassicales; Brassicaceae. The record is from Rfam by way of RNAcentral.
AAUUUUUUUAAAAUUAUUUCUCUGUAUAUGAAGAACGUAGCAAAAUGCGAUACUUGGUGUGAAUUGCAGAAUCCCGUGAACCAUCGAGUCUUUGAACGCAAGUUGCGCCCCAAGCCUUCUGGCCGAGGGCAAUGCAACAAUGCAA